Molecule: ribosomal RNA, 460 nt
Filed under: uncultured bacterium
Lineage: Bacteria
Description: partial 16S ribosomal RNA
Rfam family: Bacterial small subunit ribosomal RNA
Source: RNAcentral
CCUACGGGAGGCAGCAGUGAGGAAUAUUGGUCAAUGGACGAGAGUCUGAACCAGCAAAGUAGCGUGAAGGAUGACUGCCCUAUGGGUUGUAAACUUCUUUUAUAAAGGAAUAAAACGAGGCACGUGUGCCUUUUUGCAUGUACUUUAUGAAUAAGGAUCGGCUAACUCCGUGCCAGCAGCCGCGGUAAUACGGAGGCUCCGAGCGUUAUCCGGAUUUAUUGGGUUUAAAGGGAGCGUAGAUGGGUUGUUAAGUCAGUUGUGAAAGUUUGCGGCUCAACCGUAAAAUUGCAAUUGAUACUGGCAGUCUUGAGUACAGUUGAGGUAAGCGGAAUUCGUGGUGUAGCGGUGAAAUGCUUAGAUAUCACGAAGAACCCCGAUUGCGAAGGCAGCUUACUAAACUGUGACUGACAUUGAUGCUCGAAAGUGUGGGUAGCAAACAGGAUUAGAUACCCGAGUAGUC